AAGUCGUAACAAGGUUUCCGUAGGUGAACCUGCGGAAGGAUCAUUAUCGUAGGGGCCUCGCCCCCUUCGAGAUAGCACCCUCUGUUUAUGAGCACCUCUCGUUUCCUCGGCAGGCUCGCCUGCCAACGGGGACCCACCACAAACCCAUUGUAGUACAAGAAGUACACGUCUGAACAAAACAAAACAAACUAUUUACAACUUUCAACAACGGAUCUCUUGGUUCUG
This 225-nucleotide unclassified non-coding RNA is filed under the name Corynespora torulosa. Its description in RNAcentral is "partial internal transcribed spacer region". The stretch from base 1 to 46 matches the Rfam family "Eukaryotic small subunit ribosomal RNA", at positions 1786 to 1831 of the family's 1831-position model. Lineage: Eukaryota; Fungi; Ascomycota; Dothideomycetes; Pleosporales; Corynesporascaceae. The record is from RNAcentral.